CAGGGAGACAACAAAAUGUUUAAUAUUAUUAUUUUGUCACCUUAGGUCGAUCGGUAUCUCACAUUUUUAAUUUAUUAAGAAUUUUAUUUCCUAAGUUUUUCUAGGUCACACCCAUUAUUUUUCCUGGGCCAUUAGCUCAGGUGGUUAGAGCGCACCCCUGAUAAGGGUGAGGUCCCUGGUUCAAGUCCAGGAUGGCCCAUAUCUCUAUGUUGGGGGUAUAGCUCAGUUGGUAGAGCGCCUGCUUUGCAAGCAGGAUGUCAGCGGUUCGAGUCCGCUUACCUCCACUGAUUACCACCUCUUCCAUAAAUCUUAGAAGGGAAAUGUUUUGAGUUGUGAUCACCUUCUGAACGAAUCUAGCUUCCUAAUGUAAUCAUUAAGAUGCUGGACUCAUUGAAUUAAUUUCAUUGUUUUCAGAGAACCUUGACAACUGCAUAGAUUAUUUUUAAAGACAAUAAGCAUCUUUAAUGAUGCAGAUUUAUUAUUUGUGCGAAUGCAUUAAUAACAAUUCUAUUAAGCUGAUGCUUCAAUUUUGAAGUUAUU
Molecule: transfer RNA, 540 nt
Filed under: uncultured Prochlorococcus sp.
Lineage: Bacteria; Bacillati; Cyanobacteriota; Cyanophyceae; Synechococcales; Prochlorococcaceae
Description: partial 16S-23S ribosomal RNA intergenic spacer
Rfam family: tRNA (bases 212-284)
Source: RNAcentral